This 468-nucleotide ribosomal RNA is filed under the name uncultured bacterium. RNAcentral's name for it is "partial 16S ribosomal RNA". It matches the Rfam family "Bacterial small subunit ribosomal RNA", at positions 28 to 507 of the family's 1533-position model. The record is from RNAcentral.
GACGAACGCUGGCGGCGUGCUUAACACAUGCAAGUCGAACGGAAAGGCCCUGCUUUUGUGGGGUGCCCGAGUGGCGAACGGGUGCGUAACACGUGAGUAACCUGCCCUUGACUUUGGGAUAACUUCAGGAAACUGGGGCUAAUACCGGAUAGGAGCUCCUGCAGCAUGGUGGGGGUUGGAAAGUCUCGGCGGUUGGGGAUGGACUCGCGGCUUAUCAGCUUGUUGGUGGGGUAGUGGCUUACCAAGGCUUUGACGGGUAGCCGGCCUGAGAGGGUGACCGGCGACAUGGGGACUGAGAGACGGCCCAGACGCCUACGUGAGGCAGCAGUGGGGAAUAUUGCACAAUGGGCGGAAGCCUGAUGCAGCAGCGCCGCGGUCGUGAUGACGGCCUUCGGGGUGUGAAACGCAUCCGCUUGUGACGAAGCGUGAGUGACGGUAAUGGGUAAAGAAGCACCGGCUAACUACGUG